UACGGAAGGUUCGGGCGUUAUCCGGAUUUAUUGGGUUUAAAGGGAGCGUAGGCCGGAGAUUAAGUGUGUUGUGAAAUGUAGACGCUCAACGUCUGACUUGCAGCGCAUACUGGUUUCCUUGAGUACGCACAACGUUGGCGGAAUUCGUCGUGUAGCGGUGAAAUGCUUAGAUAUGACGAAGAACUCCGAUUGCGAAGGCAGCUGACGGGAGCGCAACUGACGCUGAAGCUCGAAGGUGCGGGUAUCGAACAGG
This 253-nucleotide ribosomal RNA is filed under the name uncultured bacterium. RNAcentral describes it as "partial 16S ribosomal RNA". It matches the Rfam family "Bacterial small subunit ribosomal RNA", at positions 524 to 776 of the family's 1533-position model. The record is from RNAcentral.